GUUGAUAGGCUGGAGGUGGAAGCCCCGUGAGGGGUGGAGCUGACCAGUACUAAUAGCCCGUGAGACUUGUCCCC
RNAcentral lists this ribosomal RNA (74 nucleotides) under Desulfovibrio sp. Its description in RNAcentral is "partial 23S ribosomal RNA". It matches the Rfam family "Bacterial large subunit ribosomal RNA", at positions 2852 to 2925 of the family's 2925-position model. The record is from RNAcentral. Lineage: Bacteria; Pseudomonadati; Thermodesulfobacteriota; Desulfovibrionia; Desulfovibrionales; Desulfovibrionaceae.